CCUUGGUGCACCAGGCGCGAAAACUUUACAAUGCGGGAAACCGUGAUAAGGGGACACCGAGUGCCAGCAUCAUAUGCUGGCUGUCCGGGUGUGUAAAAUACACCCGUUAGCAAGGGCCGGGCAAGACCGGUGCCAGCCGCCGCGGUAACACCGGCGGCCCGAGUGGUGAUCGUGAUUAUUGGGUCUAAAGGGUCCGUAGCCGGUUUGGUCAGUCCUCCGGGAAAUCUGACGGCUCAACCGUUAGGCUUUCGGGGGAUACUGCCAGGCUUGGAACCGGGAGAGGUAAGAGGUACUACAGGGGUAGGAGUGAAAUCUUGUAAUCCCUGUGAGACCACCUGUGGCGAAGGCGUCUUACCAGAACGGGUUCGACGGUGAGGGACGAAAGCUGGGGGCACGAACCGGAUUAGAUACCCGGGUAGUCCCAGCCGUAAACGAUGCUCGCUAGGUGUCAGGCAUGGCGCGACCGUGUCUGGUGCCGCAGGGAAGCCGUGAAGCGAGCCACCUGGGAAGUACGGCCGCAAGGCUGAAACUUAAAGGAAUUGGCGGGGGAGCAC
RNAcentral lists this ribosomal RNA (554 nucleotides) under uncultured archaeon. RNAcentral describes it as "bacterial SSU rRNA". It matches the Rfam family "Archaeal small subunit ribosomal RNA", at positions 325 to 879 of the family's 1478-position model. The record is from RNAcentral.